RNAcentral lists this ribosomal RNA (199 nucleotides) under uncultured Bacillus sp. Its description in RNAcentral is "partial 16S ribosomal RNA". It matches the Rfam family "Bacterial small subunit ribosomal RNA", at positions 337 to 528 of the family's 1533-position model. The record is from RNAcentral. Lineage: Bacteria; Bacillati; Bacillota; Bacilli; Caryophanales; Bacillaceae.
UCCUACGGGAGGCAGCAGUAGGGAAUCUUCCACAAUGGGCGAAAGCCUGAUGGAGCAACGCCGCGUGAGUGAAGAAGGAUUUCGGUUCGUAAAACUCUGUUGUAAGGGAAGAACAAGUACAGUAGUAACUGGCUGUACCUUGACGGUACCUUAUUAGAAAGCCACGGCUAACUACGUGCCAGCAGCCGCGGUAAUACCA